Long non-coding RNA from Salvelinus sp. IW2-2015, 514 nucleotides. RefSeq lists it as uncharacterized. The record is from RefSeq and is a predicted model, not a curated record. Lineage: Eukaryota; Metazoa; Chordata; Actinopteri; Salmoniformes; Salmonidae.
UAACCAACUUUUCGACAGACAAGCUGUCUUCAUCAGGGCACCAAAACAGCAGACAAGUUGAUCCUCCCACUUCAAAGCCCUUAGUUGUUGCGGAAAUUGACCCACUAUUCUGUUUACUUUCUGCAUCUCCGUCAUAUCGCUGAGUCUACCUUUAAGUCAUGAACUGCAGUAAGAUUGGAGGGGCUUACGGACAGGCACGAACCUGCAAAGGGCAGUGAAAACCCACCAAGAAUGAACCGGUUAUGCUGCCAUCUCAGAAGAGGGCUCUGUUCCUCGACCCAAUGGGGGAAAGUGCCAGAAAGAUAAAAAGAUGCCAGGCGGUGCUUGAUGUUCAGAUCAUUCCUGAGAGAGAAGGGGUGUGAUAUCUCCAGAUGGGCAUGUGGUACCUUGCUUCUUGUGGGGUCCUUGCCUUGAAAUUUGCUGAAUGUGUUCUGAAGGAGGCGUCGAUUGUCUUUUCAAAUACAGACAAAGAUGUUAACAUCAUGAGAAAAUAAAUAGCAGUCACUCUCCUCCA